GCUAAGUAAUUUACAAGAUGCUGCCAAUAUUGAUGAUAAAACAUCUUCGUCAGCAACAUAAUUGAGAAAAUUUGGUAUACAUUUGAGGCCUCUAAGGCGUGGUUAUGGAAGCAGAGGAAUCAGUUUCACAAAUAGUAUGUGGCGUUGUAAGGCAUAUUCGAUUCUUUACUUGCCUCCUUUCUUGGUCGAAGAUGAUACAGAGUUAAUGUUUCAAUGUUUCAGACAUUACGUAAUCAGUCAAAAACUUGACAAAAGCAAACAUGAGGUUAGCUCCUAUUUGUUGUUUAUGAGCGAGCUAAUACGUACGCCUGAUGAUGCCAAACUCUUUGGCUCCAAAGGUAUCAUUCAAGCAAAUUAUUUUAAACACAAACUCAAGUUGCCAGGAAUCUUAAGAAGUCUAGCUCCAGAGGAAAGCUAUAAUCAAAACCUUCGCCACAUAAAACUUCAGAUUAGUGAUAAUUCUCAACCACUUUAGACAAAAUACUGGCAAAUUAUUUGUUUUGUCUUCGCUGUAACAGUGCUGCAAAUAGUUUACACCAUUCUCCCAUAUUACAAAAGCUAGUCUAUGUCGGUAUUGUUUGUAAUUUUGAUCGAUAUUAUAUUUGCAAUCGAUUCUGUGUUUGUUAAUGUUUGAAUUUCUCUUGACUGAGGAUCGAAUUUUAAUUCAAACUGUCAAAUGUUUAUGGUGAUCUUAAGCAAUUUCUUGUUAGUCUCUAAUGCAAUUUUAACCCUUAUAUAUUUCAACACACUUGAUAAGAUUAUUGUGUUGAUUGAGUUCCCAAACCAUUCAAAUAAUUAUAAGUAAUAGUGCAAAUAAUAAUGCUAUUUAUUCUCACUCGGGACGAUCCCAUGUUAUGUGGCAUUAUUUUGCGUACCUGAAUAUGAAAUUACUUGAAAAGUUAGCAUUACUCUAAUGCAAAUACCAAGACCAGAUUCAAACAAAUCCAGUCCAAUAACCAGUUGACUAAUCACUUGUCUCUCUGUGUGGUCUUUGGUAGCUUUGCUUCUCGUGUCUACACUUGAAAAGAUGAGAGUUGCUACACGGACAGGUAGGACCUGUCCGUUUAGAUAAUAGUAAAUUGAAUUAUUGCAACUUGACAUUUUCCAGUAAUUUAUUGAGCGGCGGAUGAAGUAGGGUCAUUUGAAAGUGGUAAAUUUUAGGAAUAAUUCUACUUCUACAAUAUUGGUGUACAAAAGUAGAGUGCAAAAAUGUGUUGAUAAAAUCUGGACCCUUGAUUUCAAAUGAUUUAAAAAAUUAUUUUUGAAAUUAUUGGUGUAGAUUUGAUUUUGUAACAUAACUUUGUAAACCCCCUUUAUUAUUGUAGCAUAGCUCAAAUUUUAGGCCCUAUUUGGUCCACAUUCUUUAAAAAAUAUAGAUACAUUUUUAAGCAGUGAUUUGAUAUCAUUUCAAUACACAUUCUUCAGUAAAAUAAUGUUACACUUAAGUCCAAAAUUUUUCCUUAUUUUUAACUACGCAUUACCCAUCAAUAAACUAUUCUAAAAUGCAUUCUUAUAAAAAUAAUGCGGCUCAAACAAAGGCUUAUUUUUUCAGGUUCUUAUCUUUGUUAUUGGCUGAUAUGUCAAGUCUGAAAUAAGUGAGGCUGGCCUAAGUGCAUCUCCAAUGGAUGCACCAAAUCACUAACAUUCACCCAAUUUUAGUGUAAGAUCUCUUCAAUGUGGCACAAAAGUUUGCUCGACCUAAGCGCAUCUCCAAUGGAUGCACCAAAUCAUCAAAAUACACCAAAAUUUGAUGUAAAAUCUUUCCAAUGUGGUAUCAAAGUUUGCUCGAUUUUGGUGCAAAAUGAUGCAAAGUCAAUUUUACCCAUUUCUUCUAUUUGCCAAGCUAAUUGAUGGAGGGUAUUUGUGCAAUAUAUGUUUUGUAUUGAAAAACAAUUAAACGAAAAAUCUAAAAUAAGGAAUAAAAUAUGUUUGCUGGAAAUGAAUUCAACAAUAAUUUUCAAAUCCCAUGUUAAUGUGGAGACGAGGAGGAGAAGAGAAGACUUGGAAGGUCAGAACAAGCUAAAUAAUUUACAGGAUGCGGCUAAUAUUGAUGAUAAAAUAUCUUAAUGAGCCACAAAAUUGAGAAAAGUUGGUAUACAUUUCAGGCCACAAAGGUGCAGAGGAUUUGGUUUCACAAGUAGCAUGUCGCGUUCCUUUCUUGGUUGGAGAUGAUACAGAGUUAAUGUUUCAAUAUAUUAGACACUACUAAAUCAGUCAAAAUUUUAACAAAAGCAAACAGGAGGUUAGCUCCUAUUUGUUGUUUAUGAGAGAGCUUAUACUUAUGCCUGAUGAUGCCAGACUCUUUGGCUCAAAAG
Molecule: long non-coding RNA, 2315 nt
Filed under: Olea europaea (common olive)
Lineage: Eukaryota; Viridiplantae; Streptophyta; Magnoliopsida; Lamiales; Oleaceae
Description: long non-coding RNA (OEUR_LNC014079)
Source: RNAcentral